RNAcentral lists this ribosomal RNA (584 nucleotides) under uncultured bacterium. Its description in RNAcentral is "bacterial SSU rRNA". It matches the Rfam family "Bacterial small subunit ribosomal RNA", at positions 337 to 911 of the family's 1533-position model. The record is from RNAcentral.
UCCUACGGGAGGCAGCAGUAGGGAAUCUUCCGCAAUGGACGAAAGUCUGACGGAGCAACGCCGCGUGAGUGAUGAAGGCUUUCGGGUCGUAAAACUCUGUUGUUAGGGAAGAACAAGUGCUAGUUGAAUAAGCUGGCACCUUGACGGCACCUAACCAGAAAGCCACGGCUAACUACGUGCCAGCAGCCGCGGUAAUACGUAGGUGGCAAGCGUUAUCCGGAAUUAUUGGGCGUAAAGCGCGCGCAGGUGGUUUCUUAAGUCUGAUGUGAAAGCCCACGGCUCAACCGUGGAGGGUCAUUGGAAACUGGGAGACUUGAGUGCAGAAGAGGAAAGUGGAAUUCCAUGUGUAGCGGUGAAAUGCGUAGAGAUAUGGAGGAACACCAGUGGCGAAGGCGACUUUCUGGUCUGUAACUGACACUGAGGCGCGAAAGCGUGGGGAGCAAACAGGAUUAGAUACCCUGGUAGUCCACGCCGUAAACGAUGAGUGCUAAGUGUUAGAGGGUUUCCGCCCUUUAGUGCUGAAGUUAACGCAUUAAGCACUCCGCCUGGGGAGUACGGCCGCAAGGCUGAAACUCAAAGGAAUU